GCAGGGUGCAGGGGUGUGUACCUGUAGUCCCAGCUACUCGGGAGGCUGAGGUGGGAGGAUCGCUUGAGCCCAGGAGUUCUGGGCUGUAGUGCACUAUGCCCAUGGAGUGUCUGCACUAAGUUCAGUGUCAAUAUGGUGACCUCCUGGGAGCCGGGGACCACCAGGUUGCCUAAGAAGGGGUGAACCGGCCCAGGUCAGAAAUGGAGCAGGUCAAAACUCCUGUUCUGAUCAGUAGUGGGAUGAUGCCUGUGAAAUAGCCACAGCACUCCAGCCUGGGCAACAUAGCGAGACCUCGUCUCU
RNAcentral lists this signal recognition particle RNA (300 nucleotides) under Saimiri boliviensis boliviensis (Bolivian squirrel monkey). RNAcentral's name for it is "Metazoan signal recognition particle RNA (ENSSBOG00000010728.1)". It matches the Rfam family "Metazoan signal recognition particle RNA". From Rfam's summary of the family: The signal recognition particle (SRP) is a universally conserved ribonucleoprotein. Lineage: Eukaryota; Metazoa; Chordata; Mammalia; Primates; Cebidae. The record is from RNAcentral.